RNAcentral lists this unclassified non-coding RNA (379 nucleotides) under soil metagenome. RNAcentral's name for it is "partial contains 5.8S ribosomal RNA, internal transcribed spacer 2, and large subunit ribosomal RNA". The stretch from base 1 to 120 matches the Rfam family "5.8S ribosomal RNA", at positions 35 to 154 of the family's 154-position model. The record is from RNAcentral.
GAUGAAGAACGUAGCGAAAUGCGAUAAGUAAUGUGAAUUGCAGAAUUCAGUGAAUCAUCGAAUCUUUGAACGCACAUUGCGCCCCUCGGUAUUCUGGCGGGCAUGCCUGUUCGAGCGUCAUUUCAACCCUCAAGCCCCAGCGGCCUGGUGUUGGGGACCGGCGACCUCGCCCGAGCCCGCCCUCCGGGGCGCGUGCCCGGUGCGUCCGCCGCCCCCGAAAUGAAUUGGCGGCCUCGUCGCGGCCUCCUCUGCGUAGUAGCACAACCUCGCAAGCGGGAGCGCGACGCGGCCACUGCCGUAAAACGCCCAACUUUUUUAGAGUUGACCUCGGAUCAGGUAGGAAUACCCGCUGAACUUAAGCAUAUCAAUAAGCGGAGGA